GGAAGAGUUCUUUGCUGACCAAAUAUUAAAUCCAUCGAAGUUUCAAUGAAAAACAUUAAACUCAACCAGAUCUGAUUAUGUUGUGUUACAGUUUGGUGGUGCGCCGUUCAAUGGAAUUGGCUUCGUUGUUGGUUGAUCCCGGCAGUCGCCGAAAUGGUGGCGGUGUUGGGAUUCGCCCGCCGGUGGCAAACUCCGGCGAGGCCCGACAUAAAGGGGGGAAAAGAGAGGGAGAGUGACGGGAAAAGGGAACAGCGAGCUGAAGCGGCGGCUGGAGAAGGACUCGCCGGCGGUGAUGGUGGCUUUUAGGGAGUGAGGAAAUGAGAGAAGAAAGAAGUGAGAGAGGAGAGGGGUGUGGCGGAGGCUGCCGUAUGGUGGUAGUGCGGUGGAGUUGUUGGUUGCCGGCCGUUCGAUAGUCAAUUCCGGAGGCGGCAGUGAUGGAGAGAAGGGAGAGAAAUGGCGUGAGAUUGAGAGAGUUAAGAGAGACAGAGAGAUCUGAUGGGUGCUCACCGAUUAGAUUAUAUACUUUUUUUUUCUUUAUUUCCACAUACAUAUAUAAAGUUUGAUACGAGUUCAGUCUGUGCUCGCGCAUCCGGAGGACUCCAUGUAGGUUUGUCCCUUAUUGUUGAUGGUGCUGGAACAUAGGAUAUAUGCUUCUUUGUAGUUGAUGAUUUUGUUGGAACAAAUGUUGUUGUUUUCUUUGUUGUUGAUGUUUUUUAUUUGUUAUUUGUAGUUUAUGCUAUUUUUAACGUUGCAACAGAUGGAGCAACUGAUGGAACAAAUCAAACCACCAGCAAGGCUGUUAUGUAUUCC
This 810-nucleotide long non-coding RNA is filed under the name Capsicum annuum. Its description in RNAcentral is "long non-coding RNA (CANN_LNC016882)". The record is from RNAcentral. Lineage: Eukaryota; Viridiplantae; Streptophyta; Magnoliopsida; Solanales; Solanaceae.